Cuculus canorus (common cuckoo) is the source of this 2466-nucleotide long non-coding RNA. RefSeq lists it as uncharacterized. The record is from RefSeq and is a predicted model, not a curated record. The transcript has 3 exons. NCBI's taxonomy places the organism in Eukaryota, Metazoa, Chordata, Aves, Cuculiformes, Cuculidae.
AUCUGUGAAUCAUCCCCCAAGCUCCAACAUAUUUUCUAAAAACACUCCAAGAAGAUCUGUAGAGACUUUAAAAAAUUGCCAGUACAUUUCCAGCACUCUAAAGGCAUUCUGAGACAUAAUAUAAAACCAACAAAAGGUAUAAAUUUCCAUGGGAGAGGAUGCUGAGAAGCACUGAUGAAGAUCAAGUGAGAUGAAAUAAAUCUCCUUCAUUUACAGAGCAGAAUCAGAAAUGCUGAGAAAUGCAAAGCAGGUGACGUUCUGCUAUCUGGCUCCCCGCAAGCUACAGUUUUUUGGGCUGAUGAGUGGCUCUAUACUUGUACGUGAGUAGCUCGUGAUAAGAGAACUGAUUCAGAGCCCAAAUGACCUACUAUCAAGCAUCUACAACAUGUAAAAUGGCGACCAAGAUCCACCGAUAUGACGUGCCAAGGGAUACAUGCAAACAUGAGGGGGCAGGGAGGGAGCAAGCCACGUGCUGAAGCUGGAUUACCAAGCUGCCCUGACCAUGACCACUCUUCCUCAUUAUGCCUGCUUCAAACCUAACAGCUGCUGGGUUUCCCUCCACUCACAGAUGGGAGCACAUGACAAGCAACUUCCUCUCAAGCUUCUUCAGUCCCAGUUUUGCCCUCACAGUUUAUCUCUGCCAGAUAGUGCCAGGUUCCUGUUUACCCAGGAAAUACUUGUUGCUGGUUGGCUCCACAAUAGAGAUUUUUCAAUUCUGUCUUGCAUGUGUUGCUUUAAUGCAUAUGACAGUUAUUUCUUUGCUUUAACAUCAUGAUCUGGAAACUGCUCACUUUGGAUGUUUACAGCUGUUGUUUGGUUUAGCAGCAGUGCUUCUUUCAAGCCUUUCUACAGUCCAGAAUUCCUCCCUGAAUUUAUUGUGGGGAAAUACUGCCUUAAAGAAAAUAAGGGUUCUUAAAGAUGAGUUAGUGAAAGGAGUUAUACAACAUUGUGUUGGCACUAGUCUGGGUCACAGACUCUGUGACCCAGAAGAUAGCUUGCAGUCCUGUGUUACUGCUGCAUAUGAUACAAUAACUUAUUUUCAGCACAACACCACUAAGUAUAACAAGUUCUCUUCUGUCAUGAAAGUCCCCUGAACAGUGACAGGGAGCAGAUCUCUCUUUGACUAUUUCUAUCCUGUAUUUAGACUCACAUGCAACACCAGCUCAGGAUCACUGUCCUAUUUUGACCUCUUCUCCAAGGACAGGUAUAGAAAAUGAUCCCUGUACUGAACUAUCAGGAGAAUAGGAAAUGUCAGCAGGUGCUAACUGCCAAUUUACAUCUCCUGGUUUUCCUUCCAGCAAAAAAUUGAGGGAAGCUUUAUCAUGUAGUUGCCUUGCUGCUCCACUAUAACUGACAGGUUAGUUUUUAAAUGUGAUUUAUAAUGUGGAUCUUAUUUCUGUGUUGGAGUGCUUUUGGAUUACAGCAUGAAAUUUGAAUGUGUCUAAAUAAAGGGAAUGCAGUAGCGGCAGUGGCUGGGAGGCAGGGAUUAUAUGAAAGCUUUCAGGACUCUCCGAGCAGUGUGCUGCAGUAGCCAAGGGAUUUUUAUGGGCACAGAGGCACAAAGUAACCCCUCUAAUCCCUUUCUCACUGGCUUACAGACUCUGAAGAAGCUUAAUAAUUACAGGGGAAUGCAGUCAAAGUGUUUUUAAGGACAUAUGUGCAGAGGUUUAUUUUAGUCAUUUCCUAACAGCAAAUGCACUGGCAGAUUCUCAAGAAGGAAUCUGAAUGCAAGUUCUCCCUUUCCUCCCCCUCAACAAAAAGAUGAUGAUUUACAUUUAUAUCAAAAAGUAACUUAACCAGUGAUGAGCUGGGGGAAUAUUUCUCAGCCUGUAGGAUUAUGAUUUUUCCAUGGCCACACCACUCACCCCUCUCUUUCUGAUGAAAUGCAAAACAUAUCUCUGUUCUGUUGAGCCCCUUCUUUCAGUGAAGAAGCCGACAGAAAAUCUGCACAUUUCCUUUAAAAUGCCCCUCUGCAGAAGCAUUUCACCUUCUCUGAAAUUACUGGUUCAGCUGAUGGUGACUCUGCUGCUUAUAUUGCUAUGCUUAAGUAUGUGCCCAACAUGUGCUAUAUAUGUGCAUACGCAGGAGGUGUCCAGGAACCGUUUCCAUGCUGAUCUUUCAGUUUCACAGCUAUGUCACUUUCUGAGGAAUCUGUGCCUCAAAGGGGAAAGAUAUGGUGUUACUCUCUCAUUCUGGAGAAUCUUAGUAAUUUUUUUUCUUUGACAAUCUUGCCCAAUUAAAAAAUUAUGGCAUGGACUUUCCCUCACUCUUCUUCAGAUGUCAUCUCCUAAGAAAGCUGGGCACAAAAAAAUUACAGCAACAUGAUAAGCUUUUGAAUAUUAAUGGUAAAAGAGGAUAGGAAGCAUAUACUUUUUUUAUGGUGCAUGCUAAUGCAACAUUUGGCAUACCCCUUGCAGCAAAGAUGAAAAUUUUGUCCAUAUAAUUGCAAUUUCUGUAAGACACUCU